UAUCCAAGAUUCUGAUUCGGUUGUUGCUGACAAAGAUCAUCAAUUGGCCUUCAACCUGGCCAAGAGUGUGUGCCUCCCCAAAGAUAUGGAGCACCACCAAAAGCAACUAAACACCGAAUUGAAGUCCAUCCGGUCUUCAUCAAAGUCCAUGAUUUUGGCCUUACAGAAAAACAACAUUACUUACAAGAAAGUCCUAGAGCUCAG
Non-coding RNA from Camellia sinensis, 204 nucleotides. The record is from RefSeq and is a predicted model, not a curated record. NCBI's taxonomy places the organism in Eukaryota, Viridiplantae, Streptophyta, Magnoliopsida, Ericales, Theaceae.